UGCAGAGUGGAGCAGCAGCUAGCUCGUCUGGCUCAUAACCAGAAGGCCGCCGGUGCAAGUCCGGCCUCUGCAACCA
This 76-nucleotide transfer RNA is filed under the name Methylobacterium terricola. RNAcentral's name for it is "Methylobacterium sp. 17Sr1-39 tRNA-Met". It matches the Rfam family "tRNA". From Rfam's summary of the family: Transfer RNA (tRNA) molecules are approximately 80 nucleotides in length. Their secondary structure includes four short double-helical elements and three loops (D, anti-codon, and T loops). Lineage: Bacteria; Pseudomonadati; Pseudomonadota; Alphaproteobacteria; Hyphomicrobiales; Methylobacteriaceae. The record is from RNAcentral.